UCCCUGGUGGCUCAGACGGUAAAGAAUCUGCCUGCAAUGCAGGAGACCUAGGUUCAAUCCCUGGAUUGAGAA
Transfer RNA from Ovis aries (sheep), 72 nucleotides. It matches the Rfam family "tRNA". From Rfam's summary of the family: Transfer RNA (tRNA) molecules are approximately 80 nucleotides in length. Lineage: Eukaryota; Metazoa; Chordata; Mammalia; Artiodactyla; Bovidae. The record is from Rfam.